RNAcentral lists this long non-coding RNA (877 nucleotides) under Monodelphis domestica (gray short-tailed opossum). Its description in RNAcentral is "lncRNA (ENSMODG00000048446.1)". The record is from RNAcentral. Lineage: Eukaryota; Metazoa; Chordata; Mammalia; Didelphimorphia; Didelphidae.
AGUAGCUUUGGAGUCAUAAUGGCACUAUUUCAAGUCUUUUCCGGCCUUUAAGAGGGGCGCAGCCCUUGGGGCUUUGUCCUUUUAAUUUUCCAGAGCUGCUGCUUUCUUUUUUAAAAUGGUUUUGACAACAUGUGUAAAUAUCUUGUCGCAAAACUCAAUUAGACAAUGCAUAUAAGGCCCAUAUCACACUCUGCAGCUUGCUAGAUAAAUGUCGGUUAUCAUUACCAAAAACAACCCAAACAAUCAAUGUUUUACUUUAAGGGAUGUUAUGUGUGGCUCAGAGUUCCCCAUAUUGGUAUACAACUUUAAUUAGUGGACAUAGCCCAGAGUCCAAGAUGAGUCUCUGAACUGGCUUAUACUGAAUGGAAGUUACCCCUUCAGAACUAGUAGGAAUGAAUUGCCGGGUUUCUGACUUCCUUAAAUAACUGUCUGCUGCUUUACAAGUCUCUUGCAUCACGUACUUGCAGAUAUACAGGGUGAGUAGGCUGACAUAACAAAGUAUACAUUACAACACAAGGAAACAACGUGAUCAUCCAAAAGGGAUUGAAGUACAAAUUGAGCAGCGGUUCAUUUUCAUAAUUACUAACAGUCUACUCUUUUCAUUAUCUAGGUAUCAGCAAGACUUUUGAUCUUUUCAAAAAGUUUGUCAGUGAUCAAGAAGUGAAAGCGGGAGAGGUUGGAAAAAUACUGUUAAAUUGACAAUUAUAUCUUCUGUUUUAUAUUGGUCUUCAUGAUUGCAUAUGUUAGAGAAAUAGACAUGUUUCUUCCCAUACUAGUACAAUAUCAUUAUACAAUAAUUUCCAAGAUUUUAGGCAGCCUGCAAACCUCUAGUAAAUAUUUACUAGGUGUCAGGUAUUGUGCUGAGCACUAUACAUAA